GGGGGCUUUGGGGAGAAAAAGGAAAAAAAUAAAGUCUUUAAAAAAAUAAAUAAAUAAAUAAACCCAAACAUUUCCUUAUACAUUUCUCAGAAAUGGAGAUAAAAGCUAAUUGUUCUUGAACUGGGCUGACAGGGAUUCUCUCUUAUGACACUGGAAUUUCUAAAACUUGAUGACAAUGGACUCGGAAUACAGUCAACCCUAGGAAGCCACUUGAAUCAGCGUCCACUCCCGCGUGAGGAGGCAACUCACUGCAGGGUCCUUCUCAUCUUUAUUUAGACUAAGCGAUGCUGAAAGGGAAGAGUCUGUGACAGUCUAAGAAAAAAGGAAAGCAGAGAAAGUGAGAAAAAUCGAAGAAUUAGAGUCACUUUAACAAAAGAGCUCCUGUUAACCAAUUAGGUCACCGCUAUAACCUUAGACACACAGCCCAUCACCAAGGAACGUGCCCCCGCACACUGAGGGCUCCUGAAGGGUCGGGACCUGUCCCCUCACCGAGCCUUCCUCCUCUGCUGGCACAGAGCCCCGACGCGGUGAAAGCUCAAUAAAUGACUGCUGAACAG
Non-coding RNA from Equus caballus (horse), 557 nucleotides. Lineage: Eukaryota; Metazoa; Chordata; Mammalia; Perissodactyla; Equidae. The record is from RefSeq and is a predicted model, not a curated record.